Molecule: ribosomal RNA, 583 nt
Filed under: uncultured Rhizobium sp.
Lineage: Bacteria; Pseudomonadati; Pseudomonadota; Alphaproteobacteria; Hyphomicrobiales; Rhizobiaceae
Description: bacterial SSU rRNA
Rfam family: Bacterial small subunit ribosomal RNA
Source: RNAcentral
ACGGGUGAGUAACACGUGGGAACGUACCCUUUACUACGGAACAACUCCGGGAAACUGGAGCUAAUACCGUAUGUGCCCUUCGGGGGAAAGAUUUAUCGGUAAAGGAUCGGCCCGCGUUGGAUUAGCUAGUUGGUGGGGUAAAGGCCUACCAAGGCGACGAUCCAUAGCUGGUCUGAGAGGAUGAUCAGCCACAUUGGGACUGAGACACGGCCCAAACUCCUACGGGAGGCAGCAGUGGGGAAUAUUGGACAAUGGGCGCAAGCCUGAUCCAGCCAUGCCGCGUGUGUGAUGAAGGCCUUAGGGUUGUAAAGCACUUUCACCGGAGAAGAUAAUGACGGUAUCCGGAGAAGAAGCCCCGGCUAACUUCGUGCCAGCAGCCGCGGUAAUACGAAGGGGGCUAGCGUUGUUCGGAAUUACUGGGCGUAAAGCGCACGUAGGCGGAUAUUUAAGUCAGGGGUGAAAUCCCAGAGCUCAACUCUGGAACUGCCUUUGAUACUGGGUAUCUUGAGUAUGGAAGAGGUAAGUGGAAUUGCGAGUGUAGAGGUGAAAUUCGUAGAUAUUCGCAGGAACACCAGUGGCGAAG